GAGGGUAUAGCUCAGUGGUAGAGUGCUUCCUUAGCAUGCAUUGAGUCCUGGGUUCAAUCCCCAGUACCUCCA
RNAcentral lists this transfer RNA (72 nucleotides) under Camelus bactrianus (Bactrian camel). It matches the Rfam family "tRNA". Rfam says of the family: Transfer RNA (tRNA) molecules are approximately 80 nucleotides in length. Their secondary structure includes four short double-helical elements and three loops (D, anti-codon, and T loops). Further hydrogen bonds mediate the characteristic L-shaped molecular structure. tRNAs have two regions of fundamental functional importance: the anti-codon, which is responsible for specific mRNA codon recognition, and the 3' end, to which the tRNAs corresponding amino acid is attached (by aminoacyl-tRNA synthetases). tRNAs cope with the degeneracy of the genetic code in two manners: having more than one tRNA (with a specific anti-codon) for a particular amino acid; and 'wobble' base-pairing, i.e. permitting non-standard base-pairing at the 3rd anti-codon position. RNAcentral also lists the same sequence under 1 other name. Lineage: Eukaryota; Metazoa; Chordata; Mammalia; Artiodactyla; Camelidae. The record is from Rfam by way of RNAcentral.